RNAcentral lists this ribosomal RNA (433 nucleotides) under uncultured bacterium. Its description in RNAcentral is "partial 16S ribosomal RNA". It matches the Rfam family "Bacterial small subunit ribosomal RNA", at positions 29 to 507 of the family's 1533-position model. The record is from RNAcentral.
AACGAACGCUGGCGGCAGGCCUAACACAUGCAAGUCGAGCGAGGACUUCGGUCCUAGCGGCGGACGGGUGAGUAACGCGUGGGAACGUGCCCUUUGCUUCGGAAUAGCUCUGGGAAACUGGGAGUAAUACCGGAUGAGCCCUUUGGGGGAAAGAUUUAUCGGCGAAGGAUCGGCCCGCGUUGGAUUAGGUAGUUGGUGGGGUAAUGGCCUACCAAGCCGACGAUCCAUAGCUGGUUUGAGAGGAUGAUCAGCCACACUGGGACUGAGACACGGCCCAGACUCCUACGGGAGGCAGCAGUGGGGAAUCUUAGACAAUGGAGGAAACCCUGAUCGAGCCAUGCCGCGUGAGCGAUGAAGGCCUUAGGGUUGUAAAGCUCUUUCAGCUGGGAAGAUAAUGACGGUACCAGCAGAAGAAGCCCCGGCUAACUCCGUG